GCCUGAUUUGGAAUUUUCAGGGCCACGAAGAGAUCCCCUUGUUUUCCAAGGACCAGCCAGCAGAGGGAGAGCCCACCAUGCCCCUCACACCAGCUUCCUCCUAGUUCUGGAUGGCCUCUCCCUUUCAGGAAAGGUUGGCUGAGCAGUGGGAGCUGGCAUAUUGUUUGUACCAGAGUUUCCUCUGGUUCACACUGGACGAGAAGUAGGUGCUCCAGGAGUGACCUGUGGACCAACAGCAACACCAGCACUACACAGAGCCUGUUAGAAAUGCAGACUCUUGUUCCUACCCCAGACCUCCUGAGACAGAAUCUGCAUUUUAAGCAGCCCCCCAGGUGAUUCACAUGCAUGGUGAGAUUGGAGGCACACAUCUGCACCUGUGAUUCCCCCACUCUGCACGAUGUCCAUGGAUGUUUCUCUCCCUGUUUUCCACCACCUCUUUCUCUAUUCUCCAUGGCUUUCCGCCUCUAGUUUUCUCUCCCUCUCCCUUUUGGCCCUAGGUCUAGAAUUCCAGGAAGGCAACAUGCUCAGAAGGCACGUCUUCUUCUCUCCACAACUGAAUCCCAAGUUCUAGAGCUGUUGCCCAGCACGGGCUCUUGAUUGUCCCUGUGAUUUUUUUUUUUUUUUUAGCAACUUGCGUACAGCAGGGUGGUGGGCACACACCACACAGCCAGUUAAUUGCAGCUGCAGAGAGACAAUAACAAUGAUCAUGGCUGGAGAUUUUCAUCUCAAAUCUCAAGUCUCAGCAGCGCCUCUCUUUCCAGAACCCAGGCAUCCUUCGGCUGUUGUGCACACACAGAAGUGCAUUUACACAGAACACACCCCCACACAUACCAACCCAGUUGCCUAGGCACACCUAUGUACUACCCUCUUCCUGCCCCAAUUUCCCUCAUCCUCACAGACUCUCAAGGAGAAGGGGUAGGAUGGCAAUCCCUCUCAUUCAUUGACCAAGAGGGGCAGAGGGGACAUCUCAUUGGCCAAGGUCUUGAAACAAGUUUGUCUCAGAAGAACUCAGAUACUCUAACUAUCCUGGGCUGGAACUUUGUGGCUCCAAACGGUGUCCAGCCCAUACUUGGCACUCCCCUGGGUGUUUUUUUUUUUAACGGUUCUGGCCUUUUGGAUAUGGCACAACUGCUGCCACCUGCAAGGCUGCCCUGGUGAUAACUCCCUUGGCCCAGCAUGUGGUGUUCAGGCAGCCACUUUUCCCAAAUUGUUGAAUACUCUGCCCACCUCCUAUAAUGAGAUGCUGAACAGAUUUGAGCUGAAGAGGCAGUUAAACUUCACACAUUGAAUUUGUAAUAAGUCCCACCCGCAAUCAUCUUAAAAGCAUUUGUACCGAUGUAAUUGCUGUCAUUUCAAAACCUUGAAAAGACUUCCUCCCUAUCCUCCCCCUGUACCCCUA
RNAcentral lists this long non-coding RNA (1399 nucleotides) under Homo sapiens (human). RNAcentral's name for it is "HSALNT0189934". Lineage: Eukaryota; Metazoa; Chordata; Mammalia; Primates; Hominidae. The record is from RNAcentral.